UCUCUCUUCCCCGACCGCAACAGACUUGAAAUUGCCUGUGCUCAGGCCCGUUAGUGCUACAACGUAGCCCUAGUUAUUAUUAUUAUUUUUUUCCGAUUAAACUAAUUGGCUUUUUGAGGGCUUUAAUGUGCUCAAAAAGUUGUAGGAGUUUGCAGUAAAUUCGAAGGCGGCUUAAAUUUACGUAUUCUGGAGUAUUUUGAAAAGGGCGUGGCAAAAUGGCUCAAGAGCGCCACCUACGGAAAAGCCCCUCAUUUAGCAUUCACCGAUCCUCAAAAAAAACAAAGACUAUUGUGUAUCAUGACUAGAUGCACAAAAAAGUCCAUCAGUGCAUUAUGAAUAACGCAACAGGAAGCCCGCCAGUUUGACUUUAGUGGCCAUUUUGGUCAUAUUCCAUAUUUUUGUUUUGAAGUACUCCUCCUACAGCUUUCAUCAAAUCAACUUACAAUUUAGACGAUCGUCAUCACAACAAAAUGGAGAUCUAAAGUUAUUGAAGGAUUAAGUUUUAGCAAAACCGUCUGACCGUGGUGUGGCCUCAAAAUUUGAUUAAACGCCAUCAAAACACGGGCUCCUGUAUCUUGGACAUAUUUUGUCCAAUCGAGUCCAAACUAUACACAUAAGACAAGAGUCGCGACCUGAAGACAUCGGUACAGAAAUCGUGACUUAAAAUCACAGCGUCCCCUGGUGGCAACAGCAAAUGUCUUGUUUUUCUAUGUGUUACAGUUUGAUUCACUACUCGUAGGGCCUUCAUUAAAUCAACGUAAAAAUUUGAUGCAUGUGUUCAAAACAAGAUGAAGAUCUAAAGUUAACGAAAUUGCAACUUUUCAUAAUACUGUGUGACCGUGGUGUGGCUUCCAGUUUGAGGAAUGAAAACAUCUAUAUCUGGCAGAUGUGCUGCAAUAUUUAGUCACUAGAUGGCAGUGUCAGACCAUGGAUUGUGUUAUCUAUGCAUUAACAGACUGUGUUUACAGGGUGGCCAACUUUAGAGGAGAAUUAAACCUUUUACAGCAUUGCUCAAACUUUGGUUUUAGUCUCAAUCGCUAAGUUCUUCCUUCAUGACAACUCUGAGGGGGGUGUAUUUUAUUUUAACUCCCUCGUUUAAGCGAUAUAGAUGUUUGAAAUUCACGUGACGUCACAGUGUAAGCUGUGCUGUGUGUUGUGAGUUCGGCUUCAACCAGCUACAAGUGAACGCCUCAUGAAAUGGCUUACACCCACAUACCCGGUAAAUUACACACUUUGAUGUUCUGCUCCUUCUCCUGACGGUCACGGUAACGAUGUCUGCGCCUCCGUUUCUGUGGAUGUCCAGCGUGAGACACAACUUGAAUCCAACCAGACUGAACACUGACUCCAGGUACAGACCUGUUUUCAUUACUUACAAAGUAUUGCACAUAAUACAUAAUGUGUUAAAUUAUAAUGCAAUACUUUUAAUGUGAAAUAGCUCCAUACUAAACAUUCAUUGUCAUGGUAGUGCACGUUUUAAUCCAAAAGCAUAUUCAAAUACAUAGUUGAAUAUCCACCGAAAAUAAGAAUACACACUUUGUUCAUAUGUAACUCUAAUAAAUACUGUAUAAGUUAUAUUUUGCUCCGGAAUUGAACUGUGUUAAAGCGGUUCACAUGGAAAAUAUAUGUUCAAUUAUGUGAAGGGUGAUUUUCAUUACUAUUACACUAAUGGAGAUUUAGCACUUGCUACACAUUGUAAGAGCAGCUGUGCAAAGGAGCACUACGUAUCCUAAGGCUCUUUAUUCAGAGUCACGGUGUUGAUGUCCUGUCACGUGUUACAGUGAAAAAUAACCGUGUCUACUAGUGUUUACAUCGUUAAUCUCAGGCAGACUUCCCUGAAUUAUUUUGUUAAAUAUAAAUACAUUAUAGCCUUGUAACUUUACUAGAACAGACAGAGUUCAUAGAGAAUUUGAAAAUGAUGUACACUACCUAUUUCCUAAGAUGAAAUGAUUAUGAUCUGAUUAUUUUUAUGUUUCCUCUCAUUUUAUUAGGGACGGACGAGCCUGAAGGACACAGCUGUGAUGACCAAUUGACGAUGUUUUGUCUCUUAUGGCAAAGCAGAAAUAUUAAACACUGGGUUCUUAUCUAAAGUGUAUCAAAUCAGAAAGCAAAAGAUACACAUUGUUGUUAUAAGUUUUUAUUAUUUUAACCAACCAUAAUGAAGAUAGAAAUGAAUUCUUAUCCAUGCCACUUAGCAAUGACUGCCACCACCAAACAGUUGCAGGCCAUCUUUAUUUAAGGGAGGAAUUUAGAAGUGUUGUGUAGCUUCUGAUGAUGAUGCAGUCGUCCACGUGUUGACCACCAUGUUGCUGCUGACGACGUCAGGUGCUGCAGUUCCUCAUCUAUGAAGAGAAGAAACGCACUGUUAAAGAAUGUUUUGAGUUGUGUAUGAAGCACAACAGAUUUCAGAUAGAACCGUUGUACUGUGGUCUGGGUUUGUAUCCUAAUGGUUAAAUGCACAUAUUUUAAGUCGCUUUUGAUAAAAGUACUGAAAGAAAUACAACAUUGUAAAAAUAGAUAAAAUGUCUUUCUACCUCAUCUGUAAUAUUCAAGGUGAUAAUCUCCCACAGAGCUAUUGAUAACAGUCCACAUCAAGUCUCUCCACUUCUCUCAGUGUGAAAACAUAACUAUAUAAUUAAUUUGAGAACUGUUUACAACACUGAUGUGUGGAGAUUAAAAUCAUAUCUAAACUGUCUAAUUCACUGUAAAACUCCAUGACAUUCGCAGGCCAUCUGUAGUUAAGGGAGCAACGUAUGGAGUGAUGUGAAGAGGGCAGAAACUUGGACUAUGGGCAGAGAAGGUCUCUGGUUCGUCUCCGGUUCGACUCCACGGAGAGACAACAAAAGACAAACCUGGAUUGAUCUGUCCAAAAAUCCAAGAGUCUCCCUACCCUCUCUAGUGCCCCUGAGCAAGGCACCUCACUCCCCCAACAUCUGCUCCGUGAGCGCCGUACAUGGUCGCUCACUGCUCUGUGUGUCCUGCACCAGAUGGGUAAAAAGCAGAGAUUAAAUUUCCCUACCUGCAUGAGUGUGCCUUUGCAUGUCUGUGCAUGUGUUUGGGACGAAUAAAUGGAUCUUAAUCUUAAUCUUUUAAUCUUAAUCAGUUGUCUUCCAGUUGACCAGCAUGAAGCUGCAAAUCUCCACCAUGUUGCUGCUGAGGACAUCAGGAGCUGCAUUAAUGAGGAGCAGAAGCGCACUGUUAUGAAUGUUUUGUGUUGUGUAUGAAGCACCACAUAUUUCAGAUAGAACCGAUGUACUGGGGUCUGGGUUUGUAUACUAAUGGUUAAAUGCACAUACUUUAAAUCGCUUUUGAUAAAA
Molecule: long non-coding RNA, 3314 nt
Organism: Pleuronectes platessa (European plaice)
Lineage: Eukaryota; Metazoa; Chordata; Actinopteri; Pleuronectiformes; Pleuronectidae
Exons: 2
Source: RefSeq, a predicted model, not a curated record